UGGGGAAUUUUGGACAAUGGGCGAAAGCCUGAUCCAGCAAUGCCGCGUGUGUGAAGAAGGCCUUCGGGUUGUAAAGCACUUUUGUCCGGAAAGAAAUCCUUGGCUCUAAUACAGUCGGGGGAUGACGGUACCGGAAGAAUAAGCACCGGCUAACUACGUGCCAGCAGCCGCGGUAAUACGUAGGGUGCAAGCGUUAAUCGGAAUUACUGGGCGUAAAGCGUGCGCAGGCGGUUUGCUAAGACCGAUGUGAAAUCCCCGGGCUCAACCUGGGAACUGCAUUGGUGACUGGCAGGCUAGAGUAUGGCAGAGGGGGGUAGAAUUCCACGUGUAGCAGUGAAAUGCGUAGAGAUGUGGAGGAAUACCGAUGGCGAAGGCAGCCCCCUGGGCCAAUACUGACGCUCAUGCACGAAAGCGUGGGGAGCAAACAGGAUUAGAUACCCUGGUAGUCCACGCCCUAAACGAUGUCAACUAGUUGUUGGGGAUUCAUUUCCUUAGUAACGUAGCUAACGCGUGAAGUUGACCGCCUGGGGAGUACGGUCGCAAGAUUAAAACUCAAAUGAAUUAACGGGGUCAUAGCUGUUUCC
RNAcentral lists this ribosomal RNA (584 nucleotides) under uncultured bacterium. RNAcentral's name for it is "partial 16S ribosomal RNA". It matches the Rfam family "Bacterial small subunit ribosomal RNA", at positions 355 to 937 of the family's 1533-position model. The record is from RNAcentral.